RNAcentral lists this long non-coding RNA (4073 nucleotides) under Zea mays. Its description in RNAcentral is "long non-coding RNA (ZMAY_LNC002890)". The record is from RNAcentral. Lineage: Eukaryota; Viridiplantae; Streptophyta; Magnoliopsida; Poales; Poaceae.
CAAGCUCUAAGUAAGUUGCCCAUAUACUGAACUUCCACGUUUUACUUUCUGGAGUUGAGGUGCAGCAGCAUCAUAUUAUUCAGUCUGUUCCUAUUCCUUGAUCAUGAUUCCAAAUAGCUUACAUUACUUGCCAGGUUAGUAAAAAUGAAAACAAUCUAACAAGAGGAAUUUGUUCACAAAGGAGGAAUGCUAAUUAAUAUUUGUUGACAAUAAGUUACUGCUCGGCUCAAUAAAAUGCAGUCUCUUUUCUUUCUUUCUUUCUUUUUAUUCUGCACAAAGUAAUAUAUUCUAAUCACAGAUAGUCUUAGGAAAAUUUCCAUACAAGUUGCAGUUUCGUCUAUAUUUUAUAGCACUGAGGGUUCUUAACAGACAUUCUUUAUCUGCAGUGACAUGGAAUGUGACCUGCACAUAUUCCCAAUUUCUUGCUCAGAAGACUCCAUCCUGCUGUGUAUCUCUCUCAUCAUUUUAUAAUGACACAAUUGUGAACUGCCCGACAUGCUCAUGUGGCUGCCAGAACCCAAGUGGGUCAAACUGUGUGAAGUGAGUUUAUCAGCUCUUAAUUCAUGUCAUAUUGGGGUUCUAUUUUUUAUUUGCAAUUUUUCUAAUGAAUUUAUUGCAUUUUUCAGCGAGGAUUCACCUAAUCUACAAGCCGCAAUUGAUGGUCCUGGUAAAUGGACUGGCCAGCCUCUUGUACAAUGCACUUCUCACAUGUGCCCAAUAAGAAUCCACUGGCAUGUGAAGCUCAACUACAAGGAAUACUGGAGAGUGAAAAUCACUAUCACGAACUUCAACUUCCGCAUGAAUUACACACAGUGGAACUUAGUUGCUCAGCAUCCAAACUUUGAUAAUAUCACUCAGUUGUUCAGCUUCAACUACAAACCACUUACUCCAUAUGGGGGUGGCAUAAGUAAGUAAACUUGUCUUAUAGAAAAGAAUAGAAAUAAACCAACCUACCUCCCAACCUCUCCUGAUGUAGUUUGUCUGUCCCGUUUCAGAUGAUACGGCAAUGUUCUGGGGUGUAAAGUUCUACAAUGAUUUGCUGAUGCAAGCCGGCAAACUUGGGAAUGUGCAAUCAGAACUGCUUCUCCGCAAGGACUCACGGACUUUCACAUUCGAAAAGGGAUGGGCCUUCCCACGCCGAGUGUACUUCAAUGGUGAUAAUUGUGUCAUGCCAUCUCCUGAAAAUUAUCCAUGGCUGCCGAAUGCAAGCCCUCUAACAAAACAAGCAUUGACACUCCCACUCUUGAUAUUCUGGGUUGCCUUGGCUGUUCUGUUGGCUUAUGCAUGAUGAGUGGGAUCAAGAUGUUUAGCAAGCUUCAAGUUGAUGUCGGAUUCCAUGAGGUGCACUGCAACGGGAUAUUUAUUCAUUCAAUUCCAUAGCGGCACAGGAGAGAUGAGGCGAAGCCAAGAAAAAGUGGAUGUGUGUGUGUGUGUGUUUGUAAGUUAAAGGGCCAAAAUGUAUUUCUUGUCUGGUAGUAUAUAGCAGCUCUACAACACUUUGGUGAACUUAGUUACUGCAAAUUAGGCAAUUACAGUUGCACCUUUUGUAUUUUAUAGCAAACCCAGACUUCUAUUGGAUUCUAUGACUGCCCCUCUUGUAGUAAACGCAAGGCUUCACUGGUACUCCUGUUUAAAGAUUGGUCAAAUAGAAGAGACGACGGUGAUUGUCUGAUUGAGAUAACUAAGUUCUGGUGUCUUGAUCCAUUUGACCAUUCUGCUGCAAAGAUUAUUGAGCUAAAUUGCUAAUAACAAGUGUUAACUGUUGACUGAACCAAAAUUACGUGUGCAAAAGAAACAACGAACCACAAUAAGACUGUCUGCAGUAGAUAAGAUAAAGGAGACGCAGGCACUGUUUACAUAGUAGAGUUUAAAAUAUUACAAUUAUAUGUCUCAUGUUUUACUCUGUUUAUUAUAGAUAGUCUGAGUCCGGCAGCGGGUACCGGAAACGUGUCGUGGAUGCGUAUUAUUCGCGGCGUGUGGCCCUGUGGAUGCAUCCAGCAGGUGAGGCCAUGGACGUGCCUGCUAUAGAAAGAGAGUGCGGUAACAUCCGCAUCCUCUCUCCUCUGUCCAUUCACAUCUUCCCUGUUUUCGUCGGUACAGACAUGCUGACGCGCAGUCCGAAUACGGUAGCUACUGGAUGACGGGCCUCCUAUCCGCGCUCGCUGAUGGGUCCCACUGCAGAACGAGGUGUUUUCCGCGUUGGGGCUGUCUCCACCAAGGGCCCUAAUGCCGACUCCAGCAAGAAUCGCUGCAUGGUUCUGAACCUCAGCUAAAAUAGAGUACGAGCAGCGCAUGCAACGAUACGAUUCUUGUUUCGCUAUUAUUUAUUAAGAGAAUAUAGUAUGUUAAUAUAGUUGGUAUAUUAUAGAGGAUAAAAUUUAGAAUACGCUGCUGGAGAUGGUAAAGAUAUAGAAGACGAUUUUUUUAGAGUGAACUGUAAAAACAAAGAAUUUUCCUUUAAAAGAUGAAAUUUAGAGAACGUUGAUGGAGAUAGCCGAAAGCGUCAUUUACUCUAAAUAUAGAGGAUCCUCUAGACUCUCCAGCAGCAUUUAAACGGUCAUCUAAAUUUAUAGGUCGUUGCUACACUCUCUCUCUCUCUAUAUAUAUAUAGUUUCUCUAAACGAUCCUCUAUUUAUUUGAAUACUAUAAAUAACCGUUUUACCAAAACUAAAAUAUGUACAAUAUAUUUUAGAGCAUGACAAAUACGUAGGUAUAAAAAAUAAAAAUGUUUGUAAUAUAGGUAUUUAAGUAUAGAUGACGUGAUUUAGAAAACGUUGUUGGAGAUGAAAAAGAUAUAGAUGAUAAAAUCUUUUAGAGAAGACCGUAAAUAAUGGAUAUAAAGGAUAUUGCUGAAGACAACCUUUAUCUUAUCUUUAGCAGGUUGUAUAUACGACCCCGGAUGCAGAAAAUGAGUAAGAAAUCGAUAUUGUUCACGUGUCCAGCAGCUCGCGUACGCGGUCGCACAAAAACCACACCCCACAUCGACGUGCAUAUCUUCGAGCUCUCGCGGUCGCGCACAGUCCAAGCCACGUCCUCCAUUUUUGUGUCCAAGGCCUGCUGAACGGAUGCACAAUCAUUUUGCGCAAUCUGCUGGAAACGAACUCCUUUUUGCGCGACGUAGUGGACUCAUAAAUUGCUAGUAUCCGCAACCGCGCAACAGCACAACCAUUUUGCAUGUUGUCACAUAAUAACAGCUUACGGAGCAACACUGUGAUCCUCUGAGAAGGACAAAAUGAGGUUUUGCUGAUUGUUGUGCGCUACGGCCUUGUUGGAAAAUGUCCUGACGGGUGCUACAUAGGGGGUGUUUGGUUAGAGAUAGGGGGUGUUUGGUUAGAGGGACUAAAGAUUAGUCUCUAGUUUUUAGUCCCAUUUAGUCCCUUUUUUUCCAAACACUAGGACUAAAAUAUGGACUAAAAUGAUUUAGUCUUUAGUCCUUCACAUAGGUGCUAAAAGAGACUAAAAGCCCAUAAUUAUCAUGUUGCCCUUACCUUUUUUAUAGAUAACUAAUAUUGUGAGUAUAUUCUAAGGGUAUUUGAGUCUUUGGACAAUGUAUUUAAUGACUUUAGAAUCUAUUUAGUCCCUAGAACCAAACAUGUAGGGACUAAAGUUUAGUCCUAGGACUAAAGUUUAGUCCUAGGACUAAUUGAAACCAAACAUGGCCAUAGUCUGACCAUUUUUAUGAAGCACGCAACAUAUGUCCUUUAAUAAAACUAGAUCACAUAUUUUUACAUUUGAUACUGAAGCUCUAGUCUGGAGAGUAAAAUAAGUAGAGAAAGACAGAUUUGAUAAUUGGUCAAACCAGAGUAACCUGCUCCAUUUAAACUAAAAACGGAACCGCAACAAUGAAAUAUGCAUUACUGCAACUACAUUACAAUAAAGCAACUUACCUUAGAUUGCAUGAAGGAUCAAACUGUUUGUUCCUAACCAUCCACCAACCACCACGAAGAGAAAUACCAGGUCUUCAUGGUGCUGCUGCUCAAGCGUCCGAGGUCAGAGCAGGGUAUAUGGCACCCAUGGCCUGGUAUAUAUAUAUCCAUAAGAAAUGUAGUGCAGUCGAAGCAUGGGCUGAUGGG